UACGAAGGGGGCUAGCGUUGCUCGGAAUCACUGGGCGUAAAGCGCACGUAAGCGGCUUUUUAAGUCAGGGGUGAAAUCCUGGAGCUCAACUCCAGAACUGCCUUUGAUACUGAGAAGCUUGAGUCCGGGAGAGGUGAGUGGAACUGCGAGUGUAGAGGUGAAAUUCGUAGAUAUUCGCAAGAACACCAGUGGCGAAGGCGGCUCACUGGCCCGGUACUGACGCUGAGGUGCGAAAGCGUGGGUAGCAAACAGG
Molecule: ribosomal RNA, 253 nt
Filed under: uncultured bacterium
Lineage: Bacteria
Description: partial 16S ribosomal RNA
Rfam family: Bacterial small subunit ribosomal RNA
Source: RNAcentral